Molecule: unclassified non-coding RNA, 256 nt
Filed under: Hevea brasiliensis (rubber tree)
Lineage: Eukaryota; Viridiplantae; Streptophyta; Magnoliopsida; Malpighiales; Euphorbiaceae
Source: RNAcentral
GUUCUAUUGGCUUUCCUUCUAUCUCAUCUAUGGAAAUAUAGAAACUUUCAUGUGUUCCAACACUAGCAAAUUUCAAUCCAAGAAUUUGACUCAAGUAAGAGCUCUUUCAGCCAUGCAUUCGGAAGAUGUGUGGAAUCGCCUCCUCCAACCCUGGCUCCCUGCCCCAACCAACCAAAUUAUGUUAAGAUUAAUUUGAUGCAAGCUACAACAAGAGAUUGAAGGAAGGAGCCUUAGCUGUCAUUGCCUGUAAUUCAAA